RNAcentral lists this ribosomal RNA (407 nucleotides) under uncultured bacterium. RNAcentral describes it as "partial 16S ribosomal RNA". It matches the Rfam family "Bacterial small subunit ribosomal RNA", at positions 30 to 526 of the family's 1533-position model. The record is from RNAcentral.
AUUGAACGCUGGCGGCAGGCCUAACACAUGCAAGUCGAGCGGAGCGGCGGACGGGUGAGUAAUGCCUAGGAAUCUGCCUGGUAGUGGGGGAUAACGUACGGAAACGGGCGAUAAUACCGCAUACUAUCAGAUGAGCCGCGGGCGGAUUAGCUAGUUGGGGGGGUAAAGGCCUACCAAGGCGACGAUCCGUAACUGGUCUGAGAGGAUGAUGAGUCACACGUGAACUGAGACACUGUCCAUACUCCUCCGGGAGGCAGCAGUUGGGAAUAUUGGACAAUGGGCGAAAGCCUGAUCCAGCCAUGCCGCGUGUGUGAAGAAGGUCUUCGUAUUGUAAAGCACUUUAAGUUGGGAGGCGUUACCAACAGAAUAAGCACCGGCUAACUUCGUGCCAGCCGCCGCGGUAAUUC